Molecule: ribosomal RNA, 19 nt
Filed under: Mesocriconema xenoplax
Lineage: Eukaryota; Metazoa; Nematoda; Chromadorea; Rhabditida; Criconematidae
Description: partial 28S ribosomal RNA
Source: RNAcentral
CCGACCUGAACUCAGACUU